Molecule: ribosomal RNA, 464 nt
Filed under: uncultured bacterium
Lineage: Bacteria
Description: partial 16S ribosomal RNA
Rfam family: Bacterial small subunit ribosomal RNA
Source: RNAcentral
CCUACGGGUGGCAGCAGUGAGGAAUAUUGCGCAAUGGGCGAAAGCCUGACGCAGCGACGCCGCGUGCGGGAUGAAGGUCUUCGGAUCGUAAACCUCUGUCAGCAGGGAAGAACGGUCACUGUGCUAAUCAGCAGUGAAUUGACGGUACCUGCACAGGAAGCGACGGCUAACUCUGUGCCAGCAGCCGCGGUAAUACGGAGGUUGCGAGCGUUAACCGGAAUUACUGGGCGUAAAGCGUUCGUAGGCGGUAUGUAAAGUCUAGGGUAAAACCCCGGGGCUAAACGGGGAAGCGCCUUUUAGACUGGCAAACUAGAGUGUGUUAGAGGAUAGUGGAAUUCCAGGUGUAGGGGUGAAAUGCGUAGAUAUAUGGAAGAACAUCAGUGGCGAAGGCGACUAUCUGGCACAAAACUGACGCUGAGGAGCGAAAGCGUGGGGAGCAAACAGGAUUAGAUACCCGAGUAGUC